RNAcentral lists this ribosomal RNA (271 nucleotides) under uncultured bacterium. RNAcentral's name for it is "partial 16S ribosomal RNA". It matches the Rfam family "Bacterial small subunit ribosomal RNA", at positions 28 to 300 of the family's 1533-position model. The record is from RNAcentral.
GACGAACGCUGGCGGCGUGCUUAACACAUGCAAGUCGAGCGGUAAGGCCCUUUCGGGGUACGACGAGCGGCGAACGGGUGAGUAACACGUGGGUGACCUGCCCUCAGCUCUGGGAUAAGCCUGGGAAACCGGGUCUAAUACUGGAUAUGACUCCAUGACGCAUGUUGUGGGGUGGAAAGCCUUGUGCGGCUGAGGAUGGGCCCGCGGCCUAUCAGCUUGUUGGUGGGGUGAUGGCCUACCAAGGCGACGACGGGUAGCCGGCCUGAGAGGG